GCCACAUCUCCAUGGCGACGGGCUGGAGCUGGCGCCAGUCAGCGUGCUGGUAUGCAGCUUCACCAUCUGCUGAGGCCGGAGACAGACAGAGAGACAGUGAAGGACAGAGGGAGAGAGUGAGGGAGAGGCAGGGAGGAAGACAGAGAGAGGGAGAGCUGUAGUGCUGUUUCAGCAGAGCGCUCAGUACCCCCAUGCCGUCUGGGGCCCCUGCCUUGCCCAGCGCUGUCUGCCCAUCCUCGCACCUGUACAGGAAGUAGCUGAGGCACAGGGAGGAUGCUGUUAGCAUGGAGUCAUCCCGAAGCCCCCCACCAGCGCCCUCGCCUGACACAUGCCGCCACAGAUCCACUUCCUGAUGACAGCAGCCGUUCGGGGGACAAGAUGAGGCUAAACUGCCAACGACAGCAAGAUGAAGAGGAGGUGGUAGAUGGAGAAAAACGUCCCAGCAGAGAGUGGAAAACAGAAGAAAGCAAAAAGGAACAAUAGGCUGACCUAGAGAAGGAAAGGAAGAGGGGAGCAGGAAGGAGACUGCGCUGAACACUGGAGAAAUUUCAUUAACACUGCAGGACGCUGCAGAAAUUCAGUCUGCACUAAAGAAGAACACUAAAGAAAUUCCAUUAGCAAUGGAAAAAAAAUCCAUCUGCAGAAAUUCUGUGUGCACUGGAGAACGCAGAAUAUAAUCCAUUUACACUGCAUUUCAGUUUACAUAAAGCUGGGUGUGUGCA
Molecule: non-coding RNA, 722 nt
Organism: Paramormyrops kingsleyae
Lineage: Eukaryota; Metazoa; Chordata; Actinopteri; Osteoglossiformes; Mormyridae
Source: RefSeq, a predicted model, not a curated record